CUACUUAUGCCGGCGACCGGCGGACGGGUGCGUAACGCGUAUGUAACCUACCUUUGACAGGGGGGUAACAUCGAGAAAUUGGUACUAAUACCCCAUAACAUCACCGGAGGCAUCUUCGGUGGUUGAAAACUCAGGUGGUCAGAGAUGGACAUGCGUUGUAUUAGCUAGUUGGUGAGGUAACGGCUCACCAAGGCGACGAUACAUAGGGGGACUGAGAGGUCAACCCCCCACAUUGGUACUGAGACACGGACCAAACCCCUACGGGAGGCAGCAG
Molecule: ribosomal RNA, 274 nt
Filed under: uncultured bacterium
Lineage: Bacteria
Description: partial 16S ribosomal RNA
Rfam family: Bacterial small subunit ribosomal RNA
Source: RNAcentral